Molecule: transfer RNA, 63 nt
Filed under: Lutibacter sp. HS1-25
Lineage: Bacteria; Pseudomonadati; Bacteroidota; Flavobacteriia; Flavobacteriales; Flavobacteriaceae
Description: tRNA-Pro
Rfam family: tRNA
About the family: Transfer RNA (tRNA) molecules are approximately 80 nucleotides in length. Their secondary structure includes four short double-helical elements and three loops (D, anti-codon, and T loops).
Source: RNAcentral
GCGUAGCCCGGUUAUCGCGCCGCGUUUGGGACGCGGAGGUCGCAGGUUCGAAUCCUGCCACCC